UUGCCUUCUCCACGCAAAACACGGGGUUCUCUCCUCCACAAAAAUAAAACAAAGCAGCACACAUACAUAAUUAAUCACCGAAGAACAUUGCCAAUACGGAAUCAAACAAAGGUCGUCGUCGUCUCACCGAGGUGAACGGCGUCGAUGUUGGGGCUGCGCAGAUCCGGUGAAGCACGCAGUGCGGAGGGGAUCCGGGGCCGCUGUUUUGGAUCGGCACCGCUGCGCAGCGAAGUUGGACGCCAAGGCCACGAGCAGGGGCUUCUUGCUGCUGCACAAGGGGAAAAGAAGGAGGGGGGGGGGGGCGAGCAGAGCUGCUGCUCGGCCAUGGGAGAGAGGGGGCGCUGGGGGAGGGGUGGAGCAGCGGCGCUGCGCAGGAAGGGGCGCCGAGCAUAGGGAACUUCAGGCGCCCAAGCUGCUGGCCGAGCAGAGGUCCGGCCAUGGCUGCCUCUACCCCUGCGCAAGGGAGACCAGGGAUGGACGCCAUGUGCAGGAGCUCGGCUGCAGGGGGGACGCGCCCAUGGGGAAGAGGAGGAGCUGCAGCUCGCCUACACCCUUGGAGCCGAGGAGAGGAAGGGCGCCAUGGGGGGGCUCUGUGUCCUGCUGCAAGCGCCAUGGGAGAGGCUUGCUGCCGUGGAGGCUGUCGGCUGGAGCAGAGGGGCGAGAGGAACUCGUCUGCGCCAAGGAAGGGAGCAGGGAGCGCCAGGGUUGGGUGCUCGGCUGCUCAAGCCUCGUCGGUGCCAUGGGAGGAAGGGAAGGAAGCUCCCUGCGCGUUGGGGAAGAAGGCGUGGGGGAGAAAAGGCUGAUGGCGGCUGGAAAAACAAUAGGGGUGGGAAUGCAAAAUGACCAAGGGCAAGGGAGAGGGAUCCGUAUUUAUAGAGAAACCCUAGGGUUAGGGUUUCAAAUGGGCCCAAUUGGGUUGGUUUGGGCUGGCCCAAACACGCAAAUGGGCUGCGCUAAAUUAUUUUUCCGAAUAAAAAUGCUCCCGCGGAAUUCGUUUCUACAGAGAACAGAGCGAAUUAGAGUUUCGGCGAACGGACGAUUGAGCGAUUAAUUCGGCCGAGAGUUGGAUUUGAUUUCGCUCGGAAAUAAUUCCUCGCACACUAUUUUAAAAAUAAAUGUUUCUCUCAAACUUCUAAUCGGCUUCGGAUUUUUAGUCGGAGAAAUCAGAUUGUGACAUUUUAAAAUCGUUGCCGAUACGGGGUUUUGAGUUCGGUUCAAACAUGAGAUAUUUGGCUGAGUCGAGUAAGAAAUAAUUAGAGGACGACGUACUGAGUAUUCCGUGUGAGAGUACGGAGUCGGAUUAAUUUUUGAACAUAGAUCGAAGGUUGGGGAUUUAGACUUGGGUACAGCUCCACUAACAAUAGUCGAGUGCUUUGAUUAAAUGAUGUUUAGACAAGAUUUUAUAAAUCGAGAAUGAUUAACGAGUUGGCACUCGAGCCGAGAAAUAAAAAGUUUUAACAGGCUCCAAAACUGGUUGUUUCUCGCGAUCGAUUAACUCUGAAUUCGAUGAAAUGUGCACGAAUAGUCUGGAUAAUCAGAGACAUAUGCGAGCGAGAAAUAGAGAUUUUCACUGAGCAUUCGCGUUAGGGACAAAUCUCCCGACAUAACACGAAACUGACACCUGGGGUGUCACAGCCUUCCCCCCUUAAAAAGAAUCUCGUCCCGAGAUUCGAAUGAGAAUAUUUAAGGGUGGAGAAGCAUGUAACUCCCAGACUGAAGAUAGAUGCAAUUUCAUGGGAGGGUAUCUGACAAGAUACUGAAGACAGAUAUGAUUAGAAUAUCGCGACAUAUCGAGACAAAAUGCAGCGAUCAUUCUGAGAGAGUGUCCACAAAAGAUAGCACAUCAGUAUAGUCUCGUAAUGGAUCACGACUAUUAACCGCGAUACCAGCGCGUACCGAGCAGCUCAACCAUGUGUGCACCAUAGUAGGCUCUCGGUCUCGUCGCGGCACCAUCAGUCGUUAGUCAUGACACCAUUACCAAACGUAACCAAUGAAACCCACAUAGCAAUUAUAGAUGGAGCCUAUGAGAGUAUGGCUCAGAAAAUAAGAAUGUGAUCGGAGUUGAAGUAGAGAUUAUUGGCAAAAGAGCAUCACAUGAGAAUUUUUAUUUAACUCAGAGAACUAUUUUGUGAUCAACAUAGAGAUUAUCAGAUCAGAUAUUAGCACGAAAUUUGAUAUGAGGAUGAACCGACCAUGAGAUCAAAAUAGAUUGUUGAGCUUUUAGAGACAUGAGAGAACUAAAGACAAGACUCAAAUCCAUUGAACCAAAUGGAUAUGCCAUUUAGAGAUAAGUUGAUAAAACAAGCGUCAUGAUCCUCGAAGAACGAGUAUGAGCAUUAUUAGAAUUGAGAGAUUUAGGCAUAUCAACAUCCGAUACUUGAGAACGGGUUAUAGCAGAUAACCAGAUAACAGGGCAGAAUCAUUAAAGGAUUCGGAGAUUUGGAGAAUAAGGCAAAUAUGAUUCACAAGAAAAAGGAUUACCAGAUCCAGGCAAAAGGAGAGGUAGGCAAACAGGAUCAGCUGGGAUGAUUAACAGAAAUGCUAUGAAGUUUUAGGAGCAAGGAUUUAUGGAAAGAAACAUGGCCUUGAUAGGGUUUGCGCAACUAGACACCAAACAACAAAUUUUUUUUUGACCCAACAAGUGCACAAGGAGACUGGGGAUGGUCUAGUGGUCAAGCUAUGGGUAUCUCUAUAAGUUGUGCAGGUGUAUUACCAAUGGUGCAACACACAAGGGCUAGAAAACACCAACACAAGCAGGAUUUUUUUUAGAUGUUUCACUUGCUAACCACUAGGGUGGUUAAAGUGGGGGGUCUUUUAUAGGCAAACAGGCAACAUUUUUUUAUUGGCAAAGAGGGUUGAACAAUUACAAUACCACCUAGCUAGCAAGACAAGACAAACACAUAGCACGAACUAACAAGACUUACCAAUCUGACACGGGGUAAGGCAUUUCUAACAUAGCAGUACAUCACACUAUUCACAAGUUUUUAUUAUAGGAAUAAAGGUGAGAGAAGCAGGUUUAUGCACAAGACACAAUUAUAAUGCAACAAUCAUGAUGCAUGCUCAUUCUAGUCGUCUUCUCAGACCUAACUAAUUGUUCGGAUGCUUCUACAACAUCCUUAUUAAUAGUAGUAGUAGCCUUUAUGGCCUAUAUACAUAGCCACCUAGCUACCCAUCUAUUUCCUAAGGCUUCACGUCCUAGGUCUAUCCUUAUCGUACUGAUAUCUAUCCAACAAUGGUUUCUAAGCAAGUUUUACUUUAGAAAAGGUUGGAAAUCAUGACUUAUUGACUUCUCUGUACUGGUAUUCGCUCCGAUACCAGCUGUGGCGGAACCGCCCGAAUUAUUCCAACUUAAGUGCCUAAGUCCCACCUUAGAGGCUAGACCACACUUAAGUAGGAAUAAAACGUCAGUCCCUCGGAUCUAGUCCGAUAAAGCCACUUACCAGGAUCGAAUACCACUAGCUCACUCGAAGGUGAGGCACAGAGAAAGACAAUAAAGCAUAAUACCACAAAUUUAAUAAGUAUCAAUAGUGAUUACAUUAUCGGAGUUUUCAGAAAUAAUAACCAUAAAUUUUAAUGCAGCGGAAAUAACUAACGGAGAAGAACCGAGUAACAUGGCGAAGCCUGGCCACACUACUCCUCCUGGUCCUCUCCUGCGGAAGCAGUAACCCACUCGACCAUCUAUCCCGGUGGCAGGGAUGAAGGCCAAGUCACACCAUCAACCAAAUCAAGGAGGUACCUGCAAAAAUUAUGCCACAAGCAAGGCUGAGUAUACUAAUACUCAGCUAGACUUACCCGGUGUGAGGAGUCUACUCCUCUACCUCUAGACAUGCAGCUGUUUGGCUGAAGGGUUUGGUUUGCCAAAAGCACUAGCUGAGUCUAAAAUCAAGUUUUAGCUUUUCAAGUUUUAGUAUGAUCCUUUUAAGACUAGAUGAGAACCUAGCUAGUCAUACAUGGUAUCAGACAUUUUAUCAAUCAACAUCUUUUGUCAAGUCCACACAUUUCCACUUGUUACUCAAUGUAGCAGCAUGGAUCAAGCAGUCUCAUUAGCUGCGAGAAGCAGACGAUUCGAAUCGAGUUUUUAAACCUUGCAAGGUAAACCUAAACACACGACAUGUAGGGGCACUCCGUCCCCACACACAUCAACCGUCCCCAUCGAUUCCCUGGCAACAGAUCAGGGCUCACCGCCUUGGCGUACAAUGCCCCACUGACCCCGACUGGCCGUCGUGCAGUGACCGCACUUGUACCCACCAUAACCGGAAUGGGAGACCUCGUCUCAGGUCGCGUGAGGGGAUAUGUCUGCGGGCAGGUUCACUCAGGUACUAGGCUUACCGAUUUACCAUAUUUCUCGGUAUGUGUUUAGUACGUUCAAACGCUUGACUCACGGUACCACACCUUAAUCCUUACUCAAAUUUUUAUCCCGUAGACAACCAAUCCCCAUGGAUUGUUGCCCACAAACCAGCAUCAUUAUGAUAAGAAAGUGGAUACAACCAAUUUCCUGAUCUCGCGCGAGUGCUAGAAAAAUCACUCGACUUCUACCGAGAUCCUAAUUAAUAAAGCAGCUACUCGACCUAGCAUACUAGUAUCCAUCUCAAAAGGAAUCCUGAGUUCAUGCAACUAGGGUUUCAGGCAACUCCUACACUUAAGUGCACAGUACAAACCUACAAACAUUAAGUGCAGUAAAAUAGCAUAUAUAACGGUUAUGCAUAAAACCGGGGCUUGCCUUUAAUUUAACACUUAGAUAGUGUUUGCUGGGGAGGUACUCGCUUGGCGAGCAUCCACUGGUUAAGUCCAUCCUUCAGGUCAUCCACCAACUGCGUCUUGUGGUUGCACCACAUCACUGGCUCGAUCAUCAUCUCUCGGUCCUAUAUGAGGUGCAAGAUGCAUAUGUAUGAAUAUAAUGAAAUAACACAAGAUAUACAAAUACACGAUAGCGAACUAAGCACUAAAUUAUACGACACCGUAAUCAACCACAUGCUAGUAUUAGCUAUCUAUACUUCAUCAGGCUUUCAACAUUAACACCAUUGAAAACACAACAACAUUUCAUUUAUUUACGCGACACAACUAUGACAUCACAAGUACGCGCACUUUAUUUAUUUGAAUACGACUUUUCAUUAGUUCUUCUAUUUAUCACACAAAAGCAUCCCAAACACCGAUUUAACAUAGGACCUAUGCAUCAGGGGCUAUGGAAACCCCUAUAUCACAACCAACUAGAGAAGGAAACAUAUAAAACAAGGCACACAUGUCAUCUCUAGCCUAACCAUGGCAAGCCUACAUUACUUAAGAGCAAACCAAACAUUUUUAGCGAGAAGGGUGAACUAAACAUUCCAAAGCGCACUAGCAGAAUUUUUGGACAGCAAUACAGCCGUUACUUGUUUUAAUCAUAACUUUUCAAAUAUUAAUCCAAAACUAGCAAACUAGGACUUUCUGGAAGGCUUAGAAAGUGCUCUACAAUUUUGGUAUUUUCCUCACAGCAUGAUUAAACACUUAGCAAGGUCAAAAAGUGCAAUCACAGCAGCUCUGUCCAGAUUUGGACAGAUUCAGACUUGCAGCUUCAAAAAUUCACAACAAAAGAUUCAGACAUCCAAACAAAGUGAUCCUAGACUUUCUGGAAAGCUAAUUAAAUGUUCUACAAAUUAUUUAUAAACAUCCAUGGCUGAUUUAGCAUGUAUCAAGGGUAAAAUAUACUAUGAAGGCUGUGCUGUCCAAAACUGGACAGAUUCAGUCUUCACACUUCAAACACAUGUAACUUAAUCUUCAGACCACCAAAAAUAGUGAUCCAAGACUUUUUGGAAAGCUUGGGAAAAGUACUACAUAACUUUUAUAAUCACCAAGAAGUGAUUCCAGGUUUAACUAAAUCAAAUAUUACAGUUUUCGAAAUCUGUUCUGACGGUGGACAGAACACAGCAAGCAGUUUGUAGAAUUCAUAGCUCUUAAACUAUCAGGUCUGUGGUUAUGAAAUUUUAACACAGGCAAGAUCAGAAAAGCAUCUACAACUUUCUUAUAAUCGACAAGGACUGAUUCUAACAUUACAUUAGGCAAACAAUGCAGUUUCUGAAAUCUGUACAGAAUUUGGACAGAUUCAGUUACUGAAUUUGUAAAAAUCAUAACUCCUAAACGAUCAGACUUAUGCCUGUCAAAUUUUAACACCAGCAAGAUAAUAAAGUUAUCUACCACUUUUCUAUAGCACAUAUCUACAGAAAAUACAAUUUAGUUCAUCAAACAUACAGCACCACAAAACAGCGCGUGCAGUCCAAAACAGCGAUUAAUAAAUUUCAGCUCCUAUACAACUCAAGAAUUGUCGCGUUCUAGAGACUUGAAUUAUUCUAACACUUUACCCUUUGUUAGAGCUAAAUUAAUCAAAUGAGGACUAACAAGUAGACUUACAAAUUUUAUUCAAGUCAUUUAGUGCACUAAAACUACUACAACCAAUCAACGACGCAUUCUCCCCGAUAAUCACCCAACCAUUUGCGGUUUCAAUUAGACCCCACAUGAGCACUACUACUUUUUACCCGUACCCAUAACCAUACACAUUUAGACCACAACAAGCCAUUCGCUGUGAUUACGAGCUUAACCAAGUUAUCUAACCAUUCGGUUAACUAGAGCAACGACAUCGCCGCUAAAUAACGUACACGUCAACUUGCCUUUUAUUGCCGCAAUCCGAGACACAACAUAUACUACAACAUUUUUAUAAACCCACAGAUUCACAAGUAUAUUCGCACACCGACCAAAUCAUACGAAUCGUAAACUACUAGUCUCCAACUCACAAUCACCAUGCAUUUACUCCCCAAUCAUGAACACAUACAUGUUUAUCAUACGAACAGAGCAUUUCAAUAAUUAUCCUAAAACAAUUAACUCCAUUACACAACUCAUACACAAACCUACUUGACUUGCUUGAAGUGUCUACUCGAAUCCGUGAGCACAAUCACACAUUAUAUGCGAAGCAUAAUUUAACGAACACAAAAUACGCAUCGACUCGAUUCAACUUAUAAAUAUUGAGAAAGCGAUGACUACUUCGGCAUGUCACCACCUCUCUAAUUAAGCAAACACAAUUUCCUACUUCGACUAAGACUUAUAGGUAUUAAGCACGUUAUUACUUUCUAUGCGCAAAUAAACCUCAACUUAGCACAAGUGACACCGAUGGAUUUUUACUAAACUCACCAUGCGCAUAACCUUGUCUCGCAUACAACCAUAUAGUGGCGUGCACUCGAGACACUUCAAUCAACGUGGCGCGACCACUAAUAUAUAAACUCCGACACUCAUGUUUUAAUAAUUUAUCCUCUACGCAACUAGCAUUUUCUAAACUACUCGUCACAUCAAUAAAUAUACUCCCUAGAAAAUCAUGAAUCCCAUCACAAUGCAUAAAACAAUUAUACUUUUCACAUAAACGCAUACCGAUACAUUUCCCAAAACUUAACCCGCAUUUUAUAACUUAGUUUUUUGCAUCAAACCACACAUCACAUAUUUUUCCUACCAAGAUAUAAAAACAGCCGAGUUCCUUUCUUCUUCGUUUUCUUCUCUACGCAAAAUUCAAUCCAUAUCAACACAAUUUUUAAACAUGCACCACAUCGACCAAAACAUAAUUAGACAACUACAAAUCGCAUACAUCACAUAACCUUUUGUUCUCCAAUCGCAAAUGAGAUCCUACCAAUGCGUAUAACCGAAACAUUUUACACACAUCCAUUCAAAUAAUUAAUCGAGUCGAUCGAGAGCGACAUGCAUCAGCUCACCAUAAACAAACCCAAACGGUGUUUGCAAGAAUGACGGUGAUUCCGAUUUGUGCAUUGCUCCAAACAUCCGACGAGCGUCGAGCGGCUUGCCUUCUCCACGCAAAACACGGGGUUCUCUCCUCCACAAAAAUAAAACAAAGCAGCACACAUACAUAAUUAAUCACCGAAGAACAUUGCCAAUACGGAAUCAAACAAAGGUCGUCGUCGUCUCACCGAGGUGAACGGCGUCGAUGUUGGGGCUGCGCAGAUCCGGUGAAGCACGCAGUGCGGAGGGGAUCCGGGGCCGCUGUUUUGGAUCGGCACCGCUGCGCAGCGAAGUUGGACGCCAAGGCCACGAGCAGGGGCUUCUUGCUGCUGCACAAGGGGAAAAGAAGGAGGGGGGGGGGGCGAGCAGAGCUGCUGCUCGGCCAUGGGAGAGAGGGGGC
This 8152-nucleotide long non-coding RNA is filed under the name Zea mays. RNAcentral's name for it is "long non-coding RNA (ZMAY_LNC001745)". The record is from RNAcentral. Lineage: Eukaryota; Viridiplantae; Streptophyta; Magnoliopsida; Poales; Poaceae.